RNAcentral lists this non-coding RNA (23 nucleotides) under Cricetulus griseus (Chinese hamster). The record is from RNAcentral. Lineage: Eukaryota; Metazoa; Chordata; Mammalia; Rodentia; Cricetidae.
GUUGGGGAUGAGAGGUCGAUAUG